Peromyscus leucopus (white-footed mouse) is the source of this 411-nucleotide long non-coding RNA. RefSeq lists it as uncharacterized. Lineage: Eukaryota; Metazoa; Chordata; Mammalia; Rodentia; Cricetidae. The transcript has 2 exons. The record is from RefSeq and is a predicted model, not a curated record.
UCAAAACCACCACAGGCCAACUGCUUCAAUUCAGACUCUCUUCCCAGAUGACUUCAGACUGGUCACAUUUAAAACUGACCAUCACAGGCACUCCAUUCACAUUUGCUGGCUGCAGUUACUGUAUACUGACUCCUGUCUCAGAAAGCUUUGCAUCCCAUGACAGGAAGAGCCAAAUCAACUGUGUCAGCAGGACCUGGUAGAUUCUUCAGGAACUAUGUAAAUGCGUCCUGGGAGUGUUUGAGAGAAGCACCUGAUUCCAUGACACAUCUGGAAGAGACUGCAGUGGCCAGAAAUGCUCAUCUGGGCUAUGACAGCAGGCUGGCUUGUUCUCUUUUAGGACCUGGGGUAAUGUGAGGAGUUUUGCUAUUAUAAAUGAUUCCAUAAAUACAGGCACACCUAUUUUAACACCAA